This is a long non-coding RNA of Pleuronectes platessa (European plaice), 820 nucleotides long. RefSeq lists it as uncharacterized. The record is from RefSeq and is a predicted model, not a curated record. Lineage: Eukaryota; Metazoa; Chordata; Actinopteri; Pleuronectiformes; Pleuronectidae. The transcript is spliced from 3 exons.
AAGGAGCUGUUGCUCUGGGGCAGGCUCUGAAGGAGAACAACGUGUUGGAGGAGCUGAAUGUGAGUAACAACAGAAUACCCCCUGAAGGAGCCGUCCGCCUCGCCGCCGGCCUCAAAGUAAACAAGACAAUCAAGUCCCUGAAUGUGAGCUGUUGAAAAGAGAUUGGUUUGGGCUUCGGGAAGCAAAGGGUGGCAUCGGUGGAUGAAAUGGGAUGAAUAAGUGGAUCGCUGUACUUUGUUUUAAUGUCGGCAGCCGAGCUUCUCAGGGGCUCGUCUCGACCGACUGGGAAAGAAGAGAGUGAGAGAGUCACAGCCUGAGAGUUUGAUAUCGAUGGGAGCUCACUUGGGUUUAAAUUGGAGUUCGGCUGUUUGAUUGUACACACGCAGGACAAUCUGAGCAUUUGAAGUGAAACUAUUCCAACUGUUGAAAAAUAACUGAUAUAGUGUGUUUAGUAGUUAAGAAGUUUCACAGCUGCAGUUUGGUGGAUUUCUUCACCACUGGUAAGAGACAGGCCAGAAAAGUUUUUUAAAGUUAGCAAAAGGAAUGGUGAUCCACUUUUUAAACCCAUUGUAACAUUUACAACAUACCUGUAGUAACCAGAGACACGAUAAAUACCUUCUUUGUGUGUGGCACUAUUCCAUAUUCUCAUAUUUCUCAUCUGUAUCUUCGGCCAGAUGAGCAGGAACCCCAUCCAGAACGCUGGGUGCUAUGGGAUCCUCAAGUCUCUGCUGGAAAACAAAAAUUCAGCCAUGGAGGCUUUAGACUUUGCAAGCAUCAUCGUGAACAAGGAUUUUGAAGAGUUGCAUGCAAAAGCGAAAGA